This 526-nucleotide ribosomal RNA is filed under the name uncultured bacterium. RNAcentral describes it as "bacterial SSU rRNA". It matches the Rfam family "Bacterial small subunit ribosomal RNA", at positions 983 to 1509 of the family's 1533-position model. The record is from RNAcentral.
GACAUCCAGCGAACUUUCCAGAGAUGGAUUGGUGCCUUCGGGAACGCUGAGACAGGUGCUGCAUGGCUGUCGUCAGCUCGUGUUGUGAAAUGUUGGGUUAAGUCCCGNAACGAGCGCAACCCUUAUCCUUUGUUGCCAGCGAUUCGGUCGGGAACUCAAAGGAGACUGCCGGUGAUAAACCGGAGGAAGGUGGGGAUGACGUCAAGUCAUCAUGGCCCUUACGAGUAGGGCUACACACGUGCUACAAUGGCGCAUACAAAGAGAAGCGACCUCGCGAGAGCAAGCGGACCUCAUAAAGUGCGUCGUAGUCCGGAUCGGAGUCUGCAACUCGACUCCGUGAAGUCGGAAUCGCUAGUAAUCGUGGAUCAGAAUGCCACGGUGAAUACGUUCCCGGGCCUUGUACACACCGCCCGUCACACCAUGGGAGUGGGUUGCAAAAGAAGUAGGUAGCUUAACCCUCGGGAGGGCGCUUACCACUUUGUGAUUCAUGACUGGGGUGAAGUCGUAACAAGGUAAGCGUAGCGAG